AUGCAUUGUACGAUGUUGUCUCAACUUCUCUCCCUCAGCUCAGGAUCCUGAACUUCCAGUGCAGUGGGAAAUGCUUUUUGGUCUUGCACUGGCGACAAGAUCUGACUUGUGCAUUUGCUUCCAGAACACUUGGAACUAUCCACUUCAAAUGACACAUCAUAGCAAAUUGGGUGGUCUCCAAGUUUUGGCUUUGCUCUGCUCUGGGGUUUGCACUACAGGCGAACCAAAGGCCAAGAAGGGAAAGUUGGGAUAUUUUUACAUAAUUAUACAACUUAAAAUCAGACCUAACAAGGAAGACUCAACUGAUUAAGGACUUCAGCAGCACAGGCGCACUACAACCACCAGCAACCUCCUUCCGAUGGCCACAGCCCUUGGUUUGCUGACCUCCUGGCCAUCCUCAUGCGUAGACAACAUCAAAGGGCCACAUUUUCAAAGGUGACCAGCAUUUUCCACCACUUGGCCUGCAACAUCCUAAAAGGAGGUGAGCUUUCUGAAAGCAAUGAGCACACAUGCUAUGGAAGAAACCAAAACAUCUGGAGGUUCUCCAAUGAGGCAGCCGGAAAUGAAGACUUUCCACACAAAUAACCUAAGUAAAGUUCAGAUUGGGUACAGAAUUCACCUUUCCCUUUGGAAGAAUUUACUCAUGAGACACUAUCAGCCUGGGAGAAACAUGGGAUCUUCUAGAGCUGUAGGGCUAUGUAUGUGCAAGCUGCAUUUCAGGGAAGAGAUUGAUUAAAGGACUCUGGGAGAAGAGGUUUGUAUCAUCUUUAAAAAUACACAUCCAUGUGUACAGAUAUCUCACACGGCAGAUGACCACAUCAUAGAGGAAGGGAGUAUCUGUUAAAACUGGUUUUCUCUUAAAUGAACUGGGGUUUUCAAGCUGCCACGCUCAUGUCUGUGUGCUACCAAGUGGUAUGGCCACAUCCAAGCGUGCAAGAAAGCAUGAGUCAUGUCCCUUCAAAAUUAGGAAAUGAGCUUUGAAAAGUACCCUUUUUCUAAAAAAAAAAACCUGUUGAUAUACUGUCACAGCUUUGAAAGGAAAAUUUAAUUUAAAAAAAAAAAUUAAUGUAAUAUUUUUAUGUAACCCUGUGAUUCCAGAUGAUGAUGCCUUAUGGGAUGCAUCAUGCUGUGAUACUUGCACUGAAUCUGUGAGAUACUGGAAACUGGAUACAUGAUUGUUUUACAGAAACGCAUACAAAUCACAAAGACCCUCAGCUUUUCUUCACAGCAACAAAGAACUUAAUAAAGAAAAGAUGUUAAUACUAAAAGUGCUGCA
This 1276-nucleotide long non-coding RNA is filed under the name Calidris pugnax (ruff). Its description in RNAcentral is "lncRNA (ENSCPUG00000012861.1)". Lineage: Eukaryota; Metazoa; Chordata; Aves; Charadriiformes; Scolopacidae. The record is from RNAcentral.